This 673-nucleotide ribosomal RNA is filed under the name Streptomyces olivaceoviridis. RNAcentral's name for it is "bacterial SSU rRNA". It matches the Rfam family "Bacterial small subunit ribosomal RNA", at positions 144 to 831 of the family's 1533-position model. Lineage: Bacteria; Bacillati; Actinomycetota; Actinomycetes; Kitasatosporales; Streptomycetaceae. The record is from RNAcentral.
CAAGCCCUGGAAACGGGGUCUAAUACCGGAUACCACCUUCACUGGCAUCUGUGAAGGUUGAAAGCUCCGGCGGUGAAGGAUGAGCCCGCGGCCUAUCAGCUUGUUGGUGAGGUAAUGGCUCACCAAGGCGACGACGGGUAGCCGGCCUGAGAGGGCGACCGGCCACACUGGGACUGAGACACGGCCCAGACUCCUACGGGAGGCAGCAGUGGGGAAUAUUGCACAAUGGGCGAAAGCCUGAUGCAGCGACGCCGCGUGAGGGAUGACGGCCUUCGGGUUGUAAACCUCUUUCAGCAGGGAAGAAGCGAAAGUGACGGUACCUGCAGAAGAAGCGCCGGCUAACUACGUGCCAGCAGCCGCGGUAAUACGUAGGGCGCAAGCGUUGUCCGGAAUUAUUGGGCGUAAAGAGCUCGUAGGCGGCUUGUCACGUCGGGUGUGAAAGCCCGGGGCUUAACCCCGGGUCUGCAUUCGAUACGGGCUAGCUAGAGUGUGGUAGGGGAGAUCGGAAUUCCUGGUGUAGCGGUGAAAUGCGCAGAUAUCAGGAGGAACACCGGUGGCGAAGGCGGAUCUCUGGGCCAUUACUGACGCUGAGGAGCGAAAGCGUGGGGAGCGAACAGGAUUAGAUACCCUGGUAGUCCACGCCGUAAACGGUGGGAACUAGGUGUUGGCGACA